UACGUAGGUGGCAAGCGUUAUCCGGACUUAUUGGGCGUAAAGAGCGCGCCGGUGGUUGAUUAAGUCUGAUGUGAAAGCCCACGGCUUAACCGUGGAGGGUCAUUGGAAACUGGUCAACUUGAGUGCAGAAGAGGGAAGUGGAAUUCCAUGUGUAGAGGUGAAAUGCGUAGAGAUAGGGAGGAACACCAGUGGCGAAGGCGGCGCCCUGGUCCGUUACUGACACUGAGGCGCGAAAGCGUGGGGAGCAAACAGG
Molecule: ribosomal RNA, 253 nt
Filed under: uncultured bacterium
Lineage: Bacteria
Description: partial 16S ribosomal RNA
Rfam family: Bacterial small subunit ribosomal RNA
Source: RNAcentral